GGAGUUGUGGCUCAGUGGUAGAGCACUUGCCUAGCAUGUGUGAGGCACUGGGUUCAAUUCUUAGCAAUGCAU
RNAcentral lists this transfer RNA (72 nucleotides) under Ictidomys tridecemlineatus (thirteen-lined ground squirrel). RNAcentral describes it as "Spermophilus tridecemlineatus (thirteen-lined ground squirrel) tRNA". It matches the Rfam family "tRNA". Rfam says of the family: Transfer RNA (tRNA) molecules are approximately 80 nucleotides in length. Their secondary structure includes four short double-helical elements and three loops (D, anti-codon, and T loops). Further hydrogen bonds mediate the characteristic L-shaped molecular structure. tRNAs have two regions of fundamental functional importance: the anti-codon, which is responsible for specific mRNA codon recognition, and the 3' end, to which the tRNAs corresponding amino acid is attached (by aminoacyl-tRNA synthetases). tRNAs cope with the degeneracy of the genetic code in two manners: having more than one tRNA (with a specific anti-codon) for a particular amino acid; and 'wobble' base-pairing, i.e. permitting non-standard base-pairing at the 3rd anti-codon position. The record is from Rfam by way of RNAcentral. Lineage: Eukaryota; Metazoa; Chordata; Mammalia; Rodentia; Sciuridae.